Molecule: ribosomal RNA, 794 nt
Filed under: uncultured bacterium
Lineage: Bacteria
Description: bacterial SSU rRNA
Rfam family: Bacterial small subunit ribosomal RNA
Source: RNAcentral
AGGAGCUUGCUCCUCUGAUCAGUGGCGAACGGGUGAGUAACACGUGAGCAACCUGCCCCAGACUCCGGGAUAACAGUUGGAAACAGCUGCUAAUACCGGAUACGAGACGGAGAGGCAUCUCUACCGUCUGGAAAGUUUUUCGGUCUGGGAUGGACUCGCGGCCUAUCAGCUAGUUGGUGAGGUAAUGGCUCACCAAGGCGACGACGGGUAGCCGGCCUGAGAGGGCGACCGGCCACACUGGGACUGAGACACGGCCCAGACUCCUACGGGAGGCAGCAGUGGGGAAUAUUGCACAAUGGGCGAAAGCCUGAUGCAGCGACGCCGCGUGAGGGAUGACGGCCUUCGGGUUGUAAACCUCUUUCAGCAGGGAAGAAGCGAAAGUGACGGUACCUGCAGAAGAAGCACCGGCUAACUACGUGCCAGCAGCCGCGGUAAUACGUAGGGUGCGAGCGUUGUCCGGAAUUAUUGGGCGUAAAGAGCUUGUAGGCGGUUUGUCGCGUCUGCAGUGAAAAUCCGAGGCUCAACCUCGGACUUGCUGUGGGUACGGGCAGACUAGAGUAUGGUAGGGGAGACCGGAAUUCCUGGUGUAGCGGUGGAAUGCGCAGAUAUCAGGAGGAACACCGAUGGCGAAGGCAGGUCUCUGGGCCAUAACUGACGCUGAGAAGCGAAAGCAUGGGGAGCGAACAGGAUUAGAUACCCUGGUAGUCCAUGCCGUAAACGUUGGGCGCCAGGUGUGGGGCUCAUUCCACGAGCUCCGUGCCGCAGCUAACGCAUUAAGCGCCCCGCCUGGGGAG